This 464-nucleotide ribosomal RNA is filed under the name uncultured bacterium. RNAcentral describes it as "partial 16S ribosomal RNA". It matches the Rfam family "Bacterial small subunit ribosomal RNA", at positions 28 to 507 of the family's 1533-position model. The record is from RNAcentral.
GACGAACGCUGGCGGCGUGCUUAACACAUGCAAGUCGAACGGUAAGGCCCUUUCGGGGGUACACGAGUGGCGGACGGGGGAGUAACACGUGGGUGAUCUGCCCUGCACUUUGGGAUAAGCCUGGGAAACUGGGUCUAAUACCGGAUAGGACUACGCGAUGCAUGUCGAGUGGUGGAAAGCUUUUGCGGUGUGGGAUGGGCCCGCGGCCUAUCAGCUUGUUGGUGGGGUGAUGGCCUACCAAGGCGACGACGGGUAGCCGGCCUGGGAAGGCGUCCGGCCACACUGGGACUGAGAUACGGCCCAGACUCCUACGGGAGGCAGCAGUGGGAAGUAUUGCACAAUGGGCGCAAGCCUGAUGCAGCGACGCCGCGUGGGGGAUGACGGCCUUCGGGUUGUAAACCCCUUUCAGCGCAGACGAAGCGUAAGUGACGGUAUGUGCAGAAGAAGCACCGGCCAACUACGUG